UACACAUGCAAGUCGANCGGUAACAGGGGGUGCUUGCACCCCGCUGACGAGCGGCGGACGGGUGAGUAAUGCUUAGGAAUCUGCCCAGUAGUGGGGGACAACAGUCGGAAACGGCUGCUAAUACCGCAUACGCCCUACGGGGGAAAGCAGGGGAUNUUCGGACCUUGCGCUAUUGGAUGAGCCUAAGUCGGAUUAGCUAGUUGGUGGGGUAAAGGCCUACCAAGGCGACGAUCCGUAGCUGGUCUGAGAGGAUGAUCAGCCACACUGGGACUGAGACACGGCCCAGACUCCUACGGGAGGCAGCAGUGGGGAAUAUUGGACAAUGGGGGAAACCCUGAUCCAGCCAUGCCGCGUGUGUGAAGAAGGCUUUCGGGUUGUAAAGCACUUUCAGCGAGGAGGAAGGCCUUAAAGUUAAUACCUUUAAGGAUUGACGUUACUCGCAGAAGAAGCACCGGCUA
This 458-nucleotide ribosomal RNA is filed under the name uncultured Gammaproteobacteria bacterium. RNAcentral's name for it is "bacterial SSU rRNA". It matches the Rfam family "Bacterial small subunit ribosomal RNA", at positions 50 to 499 of the family's 1533-position model. Lineage: Bacteria; Pseudomonadati; Pseudomonadota; Gammaproteobacteria. The record is from RNAcentral.